RNAcentral lists this unclassified non-coding RNA (132 nucleotides) under uncultured Sordariomycetes. RNAcentral describes it as "sequence contains ITS1". Lineage: Eukaryota; Fungi; Ascomycota; Sordariomycetes. The record is from RNAcentral.
CCGAGUUUCCGAACUCCCAACCCACUGUGAACAUACCCUACGUUGCUUCGGCGGGCCCCCGCGCCCGCCGAGGGACACGCAAACUCUUUUUUGAACCUGGAACUCUGAUUGUACAUUAAAAAAAAUGAAUCA